UCACGAAAAUAUUAGUAUCAAGUUAUAAAGUUUCUAAGUAGAAAUUAAUUAGCGUGUCUACACGUGGAGACACGCUAAUAAAUUUCUACUUAGAAACUUUAUAACUUGAUACUAAUAUUUUCGUGACACU
RNAcentral lists this microRNA precursor (130 nucleotides) under Paramuricea clavata. Lineage: Eukaryota; Metazoa; Cnidaria; Anthozoa; Malacalcyonacea; Plexauridae. The record is from RNAcentral.